AACCCAGAAAUUUAUUUCUCAGCAACCCCUCUGAAAGAUUUCAUCGACAGAGAGCGAAAAUGAAGAAUAGAAACUAAUCCACCCAAACCCUAACCUUAAUUUCUAAUCCUCAGAACGGAAAAGUCUUCAAUUCAUCUGAACUGAUCGAUUCUACAUAAUCAUCAUCAGCAAUGGAUUCCACCACAACGGCAAAGAUCUCAACUUGGAGUGUCUCAGCAAUGGAUUCGUGAUGCUCUUACUUACACUGAACAUGCUAGGAGAAAGACUGUUACAGCUAUGGAUGUUGUCUCAAGAGACAAGGAAGAACUCUCUAUGGAUUUGGGGGUUAGGGUCUGUUUUCUUUUACAGUUUUUGUAAUAAUGUUUGAGCUUAGGUUUCCCUUUUUUUUCUUUUUUUUUCCAAUGUAAUUGGAGAUUAUAUUCAUCCAAUCUUUUCUUUCAUUUUCAAUUUCCCCAAUCAACAAAUCCAAUAUCAGCUAAUAUUAUUGAUUUUGAUUUCAGUCAACUAUUCAUUUCCUGCACCAAAAUACUGAUCUUAUCAGAUCUCUCCAUGUCUCUUUUUCUCGUAUAUAAUGGUUGUCUUUUAUUUUGAUUUCAAUCUACUUGUUUAUGUUUCGUUUCUGUAUCAAAUUAUUGAGUAUGAGCUUUCACCUCAAUUCCUUUCUUUAAUUUCGUUGCUCUUCUAUUUAGUCAAAGAAUGGUACAUUGUUGGUUUCUGAGACUUGGUUUUGGUUUCUGAGACUUGGUUUUGGUUUCGAUAUAUUUAUAAUGCUUAUUUGAUUCUUAUGUAUUUCAAGUUUGGAUUUGUGAGUUUUGCUCGUUAACUGUUUGAUAAAAUGGGGCAUGGUGGACUUUAGGUGACCAAGAGAAGUCAAGUAGAAAGAAGGGCACAGGUGAAAGUCAGACCAAAUGUAAUUUGUACAGGACCUCCACGAAGUUGAGAAGUUCAAGUUCACAACCAAAUGGAGAGAUCACAGAUAGUUCUAUCUAGUUACCAUUUAAACCUCCAACUGAAUAUGGACAUUCACUCUUUAUAGAGCGUUGACAUAGUCCUUCAUGAGCCGCUCCCGACUUUCCCGUUUAGCUCAGUUCUGGCACUUCAAGACAUUUCAGUAACAAUGUUAAACUUUUUACUCACAUGGUUCAUAUGCAAUAAUGAUGCUUUUUGUUAGAAGGCUGUUAAUGUUGGAUGAUAUUCCGUCUAAUUCAGUAAGAUACCCAUUGAUCAGGUUUGUAUCAAAAGGCUGUGAAUGAUAACAAUCUGUAUAUCUGAAUGUUUCCUGGUUAGAUGUGAUUCUGUCUCCCAUGUCUGUUUGUAGUUUUGGACCUCCUGUAGUUGCAUAAAAACCAAAAAGAUAUCUUUUGGUCAAUGCUCCUUGCAGUUGCUUAAAGAAAUUUAUCCUGCUGUUCAUAUCUAAUUUGUUACUGGAUUUGAAAAAAUUAAGUUAGAAUAUCAUCGUGUUAUACUUUAUUUACUAUUCCAUUGAAGAACUAGCAGUAGAGGAAGAGGAUCAUUUGCUUGUCGUUCUGUAGCCUGUGGUGGUCCAAUACUUUCACGGUCAAAUUAAUCACGUUAUCUCAUCUGGUCAUUUUGAAGCGCUGAACUUGAGAGACUGCAUGUUUGUUCUCGAUGGAACUUUAUGCACAGGAAAAAGAACUCUAAGUGUUGAUACGUGAUUUGUGCUCAAUUUAGUUCUCUUUGACUUGCAUAUUCGAUAUUGCUUUUGUGUGAUUGCAGAGCGAAGGGAGAUUCAUGUUGAGAUUUAUUCCAGCGCUGCGGCUUAUUAGUAUUUUAUAUUUGGCUCAUUGAAUUCAACUCAUUAUAGAGUAGUAGGUCAAGAGUGAAAGUGAGGCAAAUCAAUUGUGAUGUAAAUUUUUUUUUGUCCUUCUGUUCAAUGAAGUACAUUAUGCUCUUAUUGUAUUCACUGUCCGUACUCCAUGAUAAAAAUGAAAAGUUGAUUUUGUUGCAGGUUGAUGGGAAUUUAAUCAUGUAUAACCAGAAGAAAUAAUAAUGUUAGCCUAGUUUCACCUAACUACAGAAAGGACCAAUAAGAGAAAACCAAUGGGAACAUGGAAAAAAGCCUGAGAAGAAAACUUGAAGAGUAGAAUGGAGGAAUUUAUCUGCUGCUUUGGGCGUCUGAUGAAGUUUUAUCGAGAACGGAAGUGAUUUAAACUUACCAAAAGAGCAGCGUUCAUGUCUUUUAAUACAACACCCUGCAUAAUGCUGAAGGUGGAAAGGAAGAUUUACCAGGUGGGUCUGUCUCGCUGAAGCCUGAAGGUGGAAAGGAGGAUUUACCAGGUGUCUGGGAAUAGCUCUGCUAAAAUCAUUAACAUGAAUGAGAGAGCUAGACGUGGAGCUAUGCUAAAACAGGCUGAAGUAGUGUCUCCUCCCUUGACUAGAGAGGUCGGGGCAGAGCAGUGCUUAGUGCUGGCAGGACCUUCUCUACUGUUCUUGGUCGUGGCGUGCGUGCUUGAGGACAAGGUGGGACGUGGCAAUGUGCAAGCUCCAGAGGACAAGGAACAAAGCUGAGCUUAGUGUCAUUUUGCUAUUACAUUUUCUUUCUCUUUUCUUCGCUUAGAUCAUACCAGUAGUUGUCCAGCAUCAGAUCAAAUUUAGUGAGGUUUGUCAAGCUUUCAUCCAUCCCAGCUACACAGUUGAGUGAUUGGAUUGGAUAUCGGGUUGUUUAAAGACUGUAACUAAGGAUAAGAAACUUGAAUCAGCAUUUAUGUAGUAUAUUCUUGGGAACCUGUCUUUAAUAAGAAGGAUUUUAGUCACUAG
Molecule: long non-coding RNA, 2778 nt
Organism: Papaver somniferum (opium poppy)
Lineage: Eukaryota; Viridiplantae; Streptophyta; Magnoliopsida; Ranunculales; Papaveraceae
Exons: 4
Source: RefSeq, a predicted model, not a curated record